RNAcentral lists this long non-coding RNA (1396 nucleotides) under Anas platyrhynchos platyrhynchos (common mallard). Its description in RNAcentral is "lncRNA (ENSAPLG00000030058.1)". The record is from RNAcentral. Lineage: Eukaryota; Metazoa; Chordata; Aves; Anseriformes; Anatidae.
GACCCCCCCCAGACCGGUGGGAGGCCCCCCCGGUGUCCCACAGGGGGCCUGGGGGGUUUUCCAGUAUGUCCCAGUAAGAACCAGUAUGGCCUAAUGGGAGCUGGGUGGCUCCCAGUAUGCUUAAAUGCUUCCUUCCCUAUAGACUGAUAUGUCCCAGUACAUUCCAGUAUGUCCCAGUACAUCCUAACAAGACCCGCGUGGCUCCCAGUAUGCUCAAGUGUUUCCCUCACUAUAUAUUAAUACAUCCCAGUACAUCCCAGUAUGUCCCAGUACGUCCUAAAAGGACCCAUGUGGCUCCCAGUAUGCUCACGAGCUUCCUUUCCUAUAGACUAACAUGUCCCAGUACAUCCCAGUAUGUACCAGUGCCCCCCUACAGCUCCACUGCUACCUCCCAGUAUAGCCCAGUAUGUCCCAGUAUGUCCUAACAGGACCCAUGUGGCUCCCAGUAUGCUCAAAUGCUUCCUUCCCUAUAGAGUAACAUGUCCCAGUACAUCCCAGUAUGUCCCAGUAUGUCCUAAUGGCCCCACCAGUAUGUCCCAGUAUCCCCCAAUGCCCCCUUGCUAUCUCCCAGUAUGUCCCAGUAUGCCCCAGUGGGACCUACGUGGCUCCCAGUAUGCUCAAGAGCUUCCUUUUCUAUAGACUAACAUGUCCCAGUACAUCCCAGUACAUCCCAGUAUGCCCCAAUGGGACCCGUGUGGCUCCCAGUAUGCUCAAAUGCUUCCCUCCCUAUAGACUAACAUGUCCCAGUACAUCCCAGUAUGUCCCAGUAUGUCCCAAUGGGACCUGGAUGACUCCCAGUAUGCUCAAACGCUUCCCUCCCUAUAGACUAAUACAUCCCAGUAUGUCCCAGUACAUCCUAACAGCCCCACCGCUAUCUCCCAGUACAUCCCAGUAUGCCCCAGUACCCCUCUACAACCCUCCCAGUCCCUCCCAGUACAACCCAGUACCUCCCACUGCACCCCCAGCAGCCCCCCAGCGCCCCCAAAUCCCCUUUUCCCCCCACUGCAGCGCUCCCAGUGCCCACCCAGUUCCUCCCAGUGCCCUCCCAGUUUACCCCAGUCCCUCCCAGCGCCCUCCCAGCGCCCUCCCAGUCCCUCCCAGUGCUCCCAGUACCGGCCAGACGCUGGGACUGGGGGUGCCCAGGGCGCGCAGCACGCAGCAGAGCUGCUCGAUGUCGUUCUCCCCCGGGAACAGGGGCGAAAGGUUCAGCAGCUCCCCAAAAAUGCAGCCCACGGCCCUGGGGGGGGGGGGCAGAAAUUUAUUUUUUUUAGGAGGGGUCAAAAAUUUUGGGGGAAAAAGGGGAAAUUUUGGGCAAAAAGGGAAAGGGGAAAAGGGAAGGGAAAAUUGAGGAGGAAAAUUAGGGGGAGGGAAAUGUUAAGAUAAAAAUCUGGAGGGG